CCUACGGGGGUCAGCAGUGAGGAAUAUUGGUCAAUGGGCGCGAGCCUGAACCAGCCAAGUCGCGUGAGGGAAGACGGUCCUAUGGAUUGUAAACCUCUUUUGUCGGGGAGCAAAAGACGCCACGCGUGGCGUUCCGAGCGUACCCGACGAACAAGCAUCGGCUAACUCCGUGCCAGCAGCCCCGGUAAUACGGAGGAUGCGAGCGUUAUCCGGUUUUAUUGGGUUUAAAGGGUGCGCAGGCGGAAGAUCAAGUCAGCGGUAAAAUUGCGAGGCUCAACCUCGUCGAGCCGUUGAAACUGGGUGACUUGAGUGAGCGAGAAGUAGGCGGAAUGCGUGGUGUAGCGGUGAAAUGCAUAGAUAUCACGCAGAACUCCGAUUGCGAAGGCAGCAUACCGGCGCUCAACUGACGCUCAUGCACGAAAGUGUGGGGAUCGAACAGGAUUAGAUACCCCUGUAGUC
RNAcentral lists this ribosomal RNA (459 nucleotides) under uncultured bacterium. RNAcentral's name for it is "partial 16S ribosomal RNA". It matches the Rfam family "Bacterial small subunit ribosomal RNA", at positions 338 to 795 of the family's 1533-position model. The record is from RNAcentral.